GAUGAACGCUGGCGGCGUGCCUAAUACAUGCAAGUCGAGCGAACAGAUGAGGAGCUUGCUCCUCUGACGUUAGCGGCGGACGGGUGAGUAACACGUGGAUAACCUACCUAUAAGACUGGGAUAACUUCGGGAAACCGGAGCUAAUACCGGAUAAUAUAUUGAACCGCAUGGUUCAAUAGUGAAAGACGGUUUUGCUGUCACUUAUAGAUGGAUCCGCGCCGCAUUAGCUAGUUGGUAAGGUAACGGCUUACCAAGGCGACGAUGCGUAGCCGACCUGAGAGGGUGAUCGGCCACACUGGAACUGAGACACGGUCCAGACUCCUACGGGAGGCAGCAGUAGGGAAUCUUCCGCAAUGGGCGAAAGCCUGACGGAGCAACGCCGCGUGAGUGAUGAAAGUCUUCGGAUCGUAAAACUCUGUUAUUAGGGAAGAACAAAUGUGUAAGUAACUAUGCACGUCUUGACGGUACCUAAUCAGAAAGCCACGGCUAACUACGUG
RNAcentral lists this ribosomal RNA (497 nucleotides) under uncultured bacterium. RNAcentral describes it as "partial 16S ribosomal RNA". It matches the Rfam family "Bacterial small subunit ribosomal RNA", at positions 28 to 507 of the family's 1533-position model. The record is from RNAcentral.